AGAGUUUGAUCCUGGCUCAGGAUGAACGCUGGCGGCGUGCUUAACACAUGCAAGUCGAGCGAACAAAGCGGGAGGGAGUCUUCGGACAAAGCCCCGCUGCGUGAGCGGCGGACGGGUGAGUAACACGUGGGCAACCUGCCCUAUGCACAGGGAUAACGCACCGAAAGGUGUGCUAAUACCGGAUAAAGCGAGAUUCCGCAUGGACGACUCGCCAAAGCUUUUGCGGCAUAGGAUGGGCCCGCGUCCCAUUAGCUAGUUGGUGAGGUAACGGCUCACCAAGGCUGCGAUGGGUAGCCGACCUGAGAGGGUGAUCGGCCACACUGGAACUGAGACACGGUCCAGACUCCUACGGGAGGCAGCAGUGGGGAAUAUUGCACAAUGGGCGAAAGCCUGAUGCAGCAACGCCGCGUGAGCGAUGAAGGCCUUCGGGUCGUAAAGCUCUGUCCCAAGGGAAGAUAAUGACGGUACCUUGGGAGGAAGCCCCGGCUAACUACGUGCCAGCAGCCGCGGUAAUACGUAGGGGCAAGCGUUAUCCGGAAUCACUGGGCGUAAAGGGUGCGUAGGCGGUCUUGCAAGCCAGAGGUGAAAGGCUAUGGCUCAACCAUAGUGAGCCUUUGGAACUGCCGGACUUGAGUACAGGAGAGGAAAGUGGAAUUCCUAGUGUAGCGGUGAAAUGCGUAGAUAUUAGGAGGAACACCAGUGGCGAAGGCGACUUUCUGGACUGUUACUGACGCUGAGGCACGAAAGCGUGGGGAGCGAACAGGAUUAGAUACCCUGGUAGUCCACGCCGUAAACGAUGAGUGCUAGGUGUCGGGGGUCAAACCUCGGUGCCGCAGCUAACGCAUUAAGCACUCCGCCUGGGGAGUACGCUCGCAAGAGUAAAACUCAAAGGAAUUGACGGGGACCCGCACAAGCAGCGGAGCAUGUGGUUUAAUUCGAAGCAACGCGAAGAACCUUACCUGGACUUGACAUCCCUUUGACCGCUUCGUAACGGAAGCUUUCCCUUCGGGGACAAAGGAGACAGGUGGUGCAUGGUUGUCGUCAGCUCGUGUCGUGAGAUGUUGGGUUAAGUCCCGCAACGAGCGCAACCCCUAUCUUUAGUUGCCAGCACCUAGGGUGGGCACUCUAGAGAGACUGCCGAGGACAACUCGGAGGAAGGUGGGGAUGACGUCAAAUCAUCAUGCCCCUUAUGUUCAGGGCUACACACGUGCUACAAUGGGCGGUACAACGGGUUGCGAGCUCGCGAGAGCAAGCCAAUCCCUUAAAGCCGUUCUCAGUUCGGAUUGCAGGCUGAAACUCGCCUGCAUGAAGUCGGAGUUGCUAGUAAUCGCGGAUCAGAAUGCCGCGGUGAAUGCGUUCCCGGGUCUUGUACACACCGCCCGUCACACCAUGGGAGUCGGGGGCGCCCGAAGUCAGCUGUCCAACCGCAAGGGGGAGGCUGCCGAAGGUGAAACUGAUGACUGGGGUGAAGUCGUAACAAGGUA
Molecule: ribosomal RNA, 1484 nt
Filed under: metagenome
Description: bacterial SSU rRNA
Rfam family: Bacterial small subunit ribosomal RNA
Source: RNAcentral